This 354-nucleotide unclassified non-coding RNA is filed under the name Hevea brasiliensis (rubber tree). Lineage: Eukaryota; Viridiplantae; Streptophyta; Magnoliopsida; Malpighiales; Euphorbiaceae. The record is from RNAcentral.
UUUGAGAUUCAAAUGGUAUUGGCAGGGGGACGACGAGCUCAGGAUUCAAAUGCUUGGAUCUGCUGGUGGUGGGCUCCAGCUUGUACAAGUUGGAACAGAAGAGAUUUCUAGUUCAGUAUUUAGUUGUCUGAGCAUUAGUUCUGUAUUGAGAAGAGAUUUUAUGGGGUAAGGAAUUGGAUUGGGAGGCCGAAAUGGUUUUACAUCCAAAAUAUUUAAGAACAUGGAAGAGACGCGAGAUGACAUGGGGCCAACAGAACAAGGGCCUUCUAAUGCUCUGUGGUGGGGUUCUGAUUUUAUGGAGAAAUUUGGAUCUGUUUCUUUGCUUUCACAAGAAGAUUGUUUGAGUAAUAAGGA